CCUACGGGGGGCAGCAGUGGGGAAUAUUGGGCAAUGGGCGCAAGCCUGACCCAGCAACGCCGCGUGAAGGAAGAAGGCUUUCGGCUUGUAAACUUCUUUUCUCAGGGACGAAGCAAGUGACGGUACCUGAGGAAUAAGCCACGGCUAACUACGUGCCAGCAGCCGCGGUAAUACGUAGGUGGCAAGCGUUAUCCGUAUUUACUGGGUGUACAGGGCGUGUAGGCGGGACUGCAAGUCAGAUGUGAAAACCACGGGCUCAACCUGUGGCCUGCAUUUGAAACUGUAGUUCUUGAGUACUGGGGAGGCAGACGGAAUUCCUAGUGUAGCGGUGAAAUGCGUAGAUAUUAGUAGGAACACCAGUGGCGAAGGCGGUCUGCUGGACAGCAACUGACGCUGAGGCGCGAAAGCGUGGGGAGCAAACAGGAUUAGAUACCCUGGUAGUC
This 443-nucleotide ribosomal RNA is filed under the name uncultured bacterium. RNAcentral's name for it is "partial 16S ribosomal RNA". It matches the Rfam family "Bacterial small subunit ribosomal RNA", at positions 338 to 795 of the family's 1533-position model. The record is from RNAcentral.